UUCGCCUACAUGAAGCCGGAAUUGCUAGUAAUGGCAGGUCAGCAUACUGCCGUGAAUACGUUCCCGGGCCUUGUACACACCGCCCGUCACACCAUGAGAGUUGGGGAUACCCGAAGCCUGUGAGCCAACUAUAUAGAGGCAGCAGUCGAAGGUAGAAUCAAUGAUUGGGGUGAAGUCGUAACAAGGUAAC
RNAcentral lists this ribosomal RNA (190 nucleotides) under uncultured bacterium. Its description in RNAcentral is "partial 16S ribosomal RNA". It matches the Rfam family "Bacterial small subunit ribosomal RNA", at positions 1311 to 1500 of the family's 1533-position model. The record is from RNAcentral.